UACAGAGGGUGCGAGCGUUGUCCGGAAUCACUGGGCGUAAAGGGCGCGUAGGUGGUGGCUUAAGCGUGCGGUGAAAGCUCGGGGCUCAACCCCGAGUCGGCCGUGCGAACUGGGCUCACUGGAGCAUAGUAGAGGCAGGUGGAAUUCCGGGUGUAGCGGUGGAAUGCGUAGAGAUCCGGAAGAACACCGGUGGCGAAGGCGGUUAGCUGGGCAGUUGCUGACACUGAGGCGCGACAGCGUGGGGGAGCAAACAGG
Molecule: ribosomal RNA, 255 nt
Filed under: uncultured bacterium
Lineage: Bacteria
Description: partial 16S ribosomal RNA
Rfam family: Bacterial small subunit ribosomal RNA
Source: RNAcentral